RNAcentral lists this long non-coding RNA (2049 nucleotides) under Sarcophilus harrisii (Tasmanian devil). RNAcentral describes it as "lncRNA (ENSSHAG00000029491.1)". The record is from RNAcentral. Lineage: Eukaryota; Metazoa; Chordata; Mammalia; Dasyuromorphia; Dasyuridae.
UUGGCGUUUAUGAAGAAACAUUUUUAUUUUAGCCAUUAUGGAAAACAAUUAACUUUUUCAUUAUAGAAAACAUUAAAUAAUAAACCAGUAAGAUGUUAUACAGUACUUUUGAUAACUUCUUCCAUUCAUUUAGUGCAAUAUCUUAUUGGCACCUACAAGUGGAUUUUUCAAUUUUCUCCUAUUUUUUCCCCGUGCACUUAUUUGGCUUGAAGAGAAGCAACUGGUCUAAAAUGUUUUGUAUGUAGAAGUCCAUGGUCAUGUUUCCUGUCCCUUAAUUUGUGUGGACCCCAGUAAAUUACAUUUCUCAUCUCAUAUCUUCCUUUCUUUCCCAAUAAACAAUGAGACAUUCAGUUGUUUCCACUAUUCCCAGAAAUGUUGCUGUUUGACAAAGGCUCUUGACACUUUAGUGCUCCUCCCUCUCUAGAGACGUUCCUGUCAUCUGUAUGAAUGUUAGAAUUUCUCUGACACUCUCAGCUGUUUAGUCAGCCUAAACCUGGCCAAGGUAUUUUUUUUUAAAGGAAAAAUGAAAUUCCCUCAUACUAUAGUAUCAAACACAUAAUGCACCUAUAACAAUGUUUAUUUUUUGUAAGGAAAGGCAUCUAUUAGUGUUAGGUAGACCAAGAAAGGCAAAGCAUCUCCUAGAAUCUUGGCAUUUGAUGAGUAAUGGUAUAGAGGAAAGAGCACUGGCUUUGGUAGGUUCAAAUCCUAUCACUUAACUACAGGUGUGAUCUAGUGAUGAGGCAUGUGAAUGAGUGCGAUUCCUUCCCAGGUUUGGAACUGAAAGAAUUCGCUAACCCCAGAGGCUGUGACAAAAGUAGGAGGUUUUAUUUUUCACUAAGAGGUUUUCCCUUACCGGGCCAUUUUCUCAAUGGAGGAAAUCUGCAAAGAAAAGGAUAGCAAAAGACCUAUUUUAUGUGUAAGUCUGGGGUGGGGGUGGGGGGGAAGGGGAACAGUGUUUGAUAAUUAGACCAGGAUUUCUCAAUUGAAUGUCAAGUCUUUCAUGAGACUUUGACUUGACUUCCCGAAACAUCAAUAGGAGUUUGAUUUGCCCUCCCUCUUGAGAGGAUAUGAAACUAUUUGGAGUCUGGGUUUUUGCAGAUUAAAGAGGACAUGGUUUUUGUGAUUUUACAAGAUUUUUAGAGUUCAUUUGUGAAAUUAAGACAAAUGCCUUAAACUCUCUUGGACUCAGUUUCCCCACUGGUAAAAUGAGGUAAAAGUCCUUUCCAGAUUUAACAUCUGGUAGGACUUGAGGAUGAGAUGGGCUGCCCUGGGCUCUUGCCCUGGGAAAGAGAAGACCUACAUGGAUCAAUGGAAUAUAUGGAAAUAUCAAAUUACUACAAGAGGAAACAAGCGUUGACAUAGCUCUAUACUUAGUCACAUUAUUUGACCUUUAUAAAGCCAUCUUUGGGAUGGAAGGUACUUAGUUUUUUUUUUAAAUCUGUCUUAAUGGAGGGCUAGACAUCCCAAACAGACAAAAAGCAAAAACAAACAAACAAAAACCAAGCCAUUCUGUUUUUAAAGCUUUUUGGAUAAAGUCCCCUGUUCUUUCAUUAAACAACUCUGAUUUAAUAAUUCUUCCAGCUGGGAAAUUCCCCUUUAAACACUGCAGUCUAAAUUGUUGCCUCUUGUUAUCUUCUUUGUAUGUGAAUGACAGAUUGAUUUCUCCCUAAAUCUUUUCUUCUUCAAGCUGACUAGUUAGUCUCUAUUCUUUUACUAUUUCAUCAUAUAACUUUCUCUCCCGACCUUUCUAACAGUGUUUGUGAUUCCUAGAAAAAAAUGCAGAAACUGUUUUUAAUUCUUUCAGUAUAAAUAAAUAAUAACAAUCCCGGGAAGUAUCGUUGCUUGUAGGAAGCAUUUAUUUUUAUAUUUAAGUUGAAAUAAGUUGGGAGUAAAUAUAAAUUUAGAUUCAUUUAGUCUAAAAUAGUGAUAGAUCUUAUAAAUGACUGCCUAUGAGCUGUAAUAUACAUAUAUAUCCUUCAGUUUUCUUCACAUUCUAAUCAGAUACUUUGGCAUAUAAAUCACAAGGCAAUUUUUAAAAAAUUAGCAAAA